RNAcentral lists this ribosomal RNA (1239 nucleotides) under Salmonella enterica subsp. enterica serovar Anatum. RNAcentral's name for it is "partial 23S ribosomal RNA". It matches the Rfam family "Bacterial large subunit ribosomal RNA", at positions 566 to 1756 of the family's 2925-position model. Lineage: Bacteria; Pseudomonadati; Pseudomonadota; Gammaproteobacteria; Enterobacterales; Enterobacteriaceae. The record is from RNAcentral.
CAAAGCAGCAUCGCGGUGGCGGAGCGUCGUUUGCGACGCCCAACACACAAAACAAGCGGUGAGUGCUUUGGGGUGGGGUGACUGCGUACCUUUUGUAUAAUGGGUCAGCGACUUAUAUUCUGUAGCAAGGUUAACCGUAUAGGGGAGCCGUAGGGAAACCGAGUCUUAACCGGGCGUUAAGUUGCAGGGUAUAGACCCGAAACCCGGUGAUCUAGCCAUGGGCAGGUUGAAGGUUGGGUAACACUAACUGGAGGACCGAACCGACUAAUGUUGAAAAAUUAGCGGAUGACUUGUGGCUGGGGGUGAAAGGCCAAUCAAACCGGGAGAUAGCUGGUUCUCCCCGAAAGCUAUUUAGGUAGCGCCUCGUGAAUUCAUCUUCGGGGGUAGAGCACUGUUUCGGCUAGGGGGUCAUCCCGACUUACCAACCCGAUGCAAACUGCGAAUACCGGAGAAUGUUAUCACGGGAGACACACGGCGGGUGCUAACGUCCGUCGUGAAGAGGGAAACAACCCAGACCGCCAGCUAAGGUCCCAAAGUCAUGGUUAAGUGGGAAACGAUGUGGGAAGGCCCAGACAGCCAGGAUGUUGGCUUAGAAGCAGCCAUCAUUUAAAGAAAGCGUAAUAGCUCACUGGUCGAGUCGGCCUGCGCGGAAGAUGUAACGGGGCUAAACCAUGCACCGAAGCUGCGGCAGCGACACUGUGUGUUGUUGGGUAGGGGAGCGUUCUGUAAGCCUGCGAAGGUGGCCUGUGAGGGUUGCUGGAGGUAUCAGAAGUGCGAAUGCUGACAUAAGUAACGAUAAAGCGGGUGAAAAGCCCGCUCGCCGGAAGACCAAGGGUUCCUGUCCAACGUUAAUCGGGGCAGGGUGAGUCGACCCCUAAGGCGAGGCCGAAAGGCGUAGUCGAUGGGAAACAGGUUAAUAUUCCUGUACUUGGUGUUACUGCGAAGGGGGGACGGAGAAGGCUAUGUUGGCCGGGCGACGGUUGUCCCGGUUUAAGCGUGUAGGUGUGUGUUCCAGGUAAAUCCGGUUCACUUUAACACUGAGGCGUGAUGACGAGGCACUACGGUGCUGAAGCAACAAAUGCCCUGCUUCCAGGAAAAGCCUCUAAGCAUCAGGUAACAUCAAAUCGUACCCCAAACCGACACAGGUGGUCAGGUAGAGAAUACCAAGGCGCUUGAGAGAACUCGGGUGAAGGAACUAGGCAAAAUGGUGCCGUAACUUCGGGAGAAGGCACGCUGACA